RNAcentral lists this transfer RNA (73 nucleotides) under Ameiurus melas (black bullhead). It matches the Rfam family "tRNA". Rfam says of the family: Transfer RNA (tRNA) molecules are approximately 80 nucleotides in length. Their secondary structure includes four short double-helical elements and three loops (D, anti-codon, and T loops). Lineage: Eukaryota; Metazoa; Chordata; Actinopteri; Siluriformes; Ictaluridae. The record is from Rfam by way of RNAcentral.
GGUUCUAUAGUGUAGUGGUCAUCACAUCUGCUUUUCACGCAGAAAGUCCUGGGUUCAAUCCGCAGUGGAACCA